Long non-coding RNA from Bicyclus anynana (squinting bush brown), 3223 nucleotides. RefSeq lists it as uncharacterized. The transcript has 6 exons. The record is from RefSeq and is a predicted model, not a curated record. Lineage: Eukaryota; Metazoa; Arthropoda; Insecta; Lepidoptera; Nymphalidae.
ACAGGCCGGGUCAACUCUCGAACAAAGUUUGGUUAUACCUACGGGGGCUAGACCUGUGGUGUCAUCAUCCAUACGGUUCUACCGUCUGGUAGUUGUAGCAAUAUUAUUAUCGUUAGUAGCUCACGCCUGACAUAAUAUUGUGAUGAAUCUAAUACAUUUUUAGAUUUAAAUAUGACUUUAAUAACUGAAUAAAUACUUUUCUUCUACAAAAAUAUAGAGAGACACUCUUGUUGAAUAUUGUUUUAGUAACGUAUGGGUAAGAUUUUCUAAACGAAGUGUGGCAACCCCAAUUUCUUAAUAAAAAAUAAAAAUGUUAUAAAAUGAAAAUGGCGUCAUUUCACCAAAUAUUUUAAAACACAAGUUCACAAAUAAUAAAAUAAAUGUUUGCCACGGCCUGUUAAUAUUUAUGAAGACCUCUUCAUGGAUUAGAUUUAAGCAACCUGCUGUGUAAUAUCCUCGCCAUUCUUGAUGUUGAGAAGAUCUAUAAGUCUUUUACGUUUCAUCUGAGUGUUGUGGUUUUUCAUUAUGUUAAAAAUAAGACUUUGUUAGUUCAAGUGUCUCUAUAAUUAUGAAGAAGAACAAAAGAAAAUGCUUUGAGUGUGGUUCUUCGCCUGCCGAUGAUCCAGAGAAGACCCUACAGAGAUUACCGAAACUUGAUUCUACAAAUUUAGUCUCCGUAAUGUCCAGAUAAUCAAUGAUUAGACCAUUGGACUUUUAGAAUAAAUUUUACAUUGAACUAUGAAUGGUUUGUCAUCUACAUUUUUAAAAAAGACGAGAUGUUUUGCCUGUAAGAAGAAGAGAGAAAGAGAGAAUAAGAAGGUGUAGCAAAAUAGAAGAUGAAGGUCUAGCUGUGCCAGUGCUGAGCCACACAGUUGCUGCUGGCAUGUUUGCAAAAUAGCACAAGGUGUAGCAAAAUAGAAGAUGAAGGUCUAGCUGUGCCAGUGCUGAGCCACACAGUUGCUGCUGGCAUGUUUGCAAUAUAGCACAAGGUGCUGUAAAAUGAAGAUAUAUUGUUAAAUAUCAUGAGAUAGAAAUAAAAGAUGAAAAUCUAGCUGUACCCGUCCCGAGCCACACUACUGUAGCCACGUUGCUGCUGGCAUUUUUGCAAAAUAGCACAAGGUCACAACAAUUGAUGUAACAAAUAUAAUCAAUGGACCAGGCACCUGCACCAUGAUUCUUUGGAAUACUAAAAUUCGUCUCUUUAUGUCUGUACUUCUCAUAAUGAAAAAUGUCACGUUUUUAUGAAAGAAAUAAUGGAAUCAAAUAAUAAAUAAAACAAGCAUAUGCUGGAAGUCCUCAGAAACAGCUCCGACUUUAAUGAUUUUUUUAAAGUCAUGUUUUUUAUGUUAUUUAAAAUCAGAAAUGUUUUGGUGGACGAAAUUAUUUAAAUUGUUAAAAAAUAUCUAUGCUAUUUAUACAUAUAUAUUUUUUUUAAAUACAACCGACUUCAAAAAUACAAACUUAUGCAGAAAACUAACAAAAGAAAGAAAAUAUUAUAAUAUUUUCUAUCUAUUGAUCACUUUGAAGGCGGUGCCAAUGGUCCAAUUAAUGGGCCGACAAUUAGUUAUCUAUUGUUUACUAGCUAUAGGGUUCGAAUUGCUUUUUCAUAUGUUUAAAAGACUAUCUUCGGAAUGAACCCUUUAUAAUAAAAAAGUAUUAUCAAAAUCGGACCGGUCCGACCUAUUUAACCAUUAAUUUUAGUAUACAACCGAUCGGUUGUAUACUAAAAUUAAUGGUUAAACAAUCAAUCAUCCCCUGUUUUCGUAAUGUAAAACCAAGCAUAACUGUUAACAUGAGUAGUCCGAUUUUGAUAAUUCUUUUAAUUGAUAAUUCUUGAUUGUUUUAGUUUAAAACCAAGCAUGUCUUCGAAUUCCGAUUUAAAUAACUUUGUUUUAAAUAGAAAGGGUAUAUUCCGACAAUGGUCCCAAAUCAUUAUAAAUUUAAAAAAAUCGAAGAUGACUGGUUAUUUUCCCAUUAAUUGUAUUGUAAAACUAUGCGUAACUUAUUACGAAGUGGUCCGAUUUCGUAAAUUCUUUAUAGAUUGUAAAGGUAUUUUGAUUGUAAAGCUCCCAUAUAAAUUUUAAAAAAACAAUUCCAAUCCUAAAUGUGCGAUUGAUUGUUUUCUCAUUCAUUUUAAUGUAAAACCAAGCAUAACUUUUUAUUGGGUGGUUCGAUUUCGAUUAUUCUUUUUUUGAUAGAAAGGGUAUAUUCCUAAUAGUCUCAUAAAAUGUUGGAAAAAACAAUUUCAAACCUAAUAGUAGGAAAAUAGAAGAUGAUUAAUUGUUUUUGUUUAUUUUUUAAUUAUUUAUUAUAUAAAUAGCAUAACUAUUGUUAAAUAGUAUAAAUCGUUCCAUCCUCACUCCAAAAGGUUUCUGAUUUCAAAUAAUAUGAAGAAACAAACUGAACAAAAAAAAUCAUCAAAAUCAGAGCUGUUUGAGGAGGUAGAGGGUAAAUGCUCUAUUUGAUUCGCCUAAAAGUAAUAUUAUGUUAUCGCAUUAGGUUGUAAAGUUUGGCUAAUGAAAGUAGAGACUGAAAUUGCCCGCCAAAUUUAAAAAUCACAUGCGUUUUCAUAAUUUAUUUAAAUUAGUUUUUCUUUGUGAAUACAUUAUUACCUAUACUAUAAGUGUUAAACUCAGUUAUUCCAAUAUUUGCACUAUAAUUUUGAGAAUUUACUCCGAUUUUUUAAAAUUUGGCGGGUGAUUUCAGUUUCUACUUUCAUUAGCCAAAUUCUAAUAAUUUUAUUGUUUAUGAAAUUUAUACUAAUUAGAAAGAGAAAGAAUUUGAUUAUUUGUUUGUUUGCAUUGAAUAGGCUCUGAAACUACUUUGCUGAUUUAAAAAUUUCUUACAGCAUUAUAAUCAUGGAUUAGGCCAUAAUUGUUAUCUCUGUAUUCCCACGGGAACGAGAACUACGCUGGUGAAACUGCGUGACGUUUGCAUAGUUUAUCAUAUGUACGAAUAUCCCGACAAUCUAUAUUUUUAUGUAUGAAUUGGUUAAGUUAUAAUUGACUUGAUUUUCCCAAAUAUCUCAGUGAAGUCAAAUACCCAAUUGAUGCAUAGAUAUAUUUUUAUUUUGGUUUUCAUUUUACUUUAAAGAUAAAAUUUAGUUUUAGAAGCAAAAUGAAUAUAUGUAGAUUAUAUUUAAGGUGCUGAUGUUUACUUAGUAAUUGAUUAAGUGCAUAACAUAUUUAUUUGAUAAUAAAGACAUUUCAACUUGAAACUGUUA